AUUGACGGCCAUAUUAGGGUGAAAGCACCGUAUCCCGUCUGCUCUGCGAGGAUAAGCAGCCUCAAGCUUGGGUACGACUCGGAUAGGUGACCACGCGGGAAGUUCCCGUGGUGCCUAUU
This 119-nucleotide ribosomal RNA is filed under the name Albugo candida. Lineage: Eukaryota; Oomycota; Peronosporomycetes; Albuginales; Albuginaceae. The record is from RNAcentral.